ACAUAAGAUUAUGACUUCUAUCUUGCUAGUAGACCCUCUCCAUUAACUCUCUCUCUUUCUGAUUGAGUGUAAGCUGCUAUAUGAAGGGAUCCACAAGACGAAUAAUUAAGGGGGACCUCUGAUCAACAGCCAGCAAGGAACUGAAUCCCUCAGACCCACAACUCACAAGAAACUGAAGCUGAAGCAGAUUCUUCCUCAGUCAAGCUUCAGGACCUGCUUUGCAGAAAGGAUCUCAUUGAGAAUAGCAAAAGGAAGUUGGGAACCAUUACAGUGCCCAGCUGUAUUGGUAGAGGAGACCAACCACACCCUCCACAGCACAGCACCUGGAGAGGAACUGCUGCCAUGACCAUAGAGGACACCCUCUGGAUACAAUGCCAGACUUGAUGUGGGACUGACCAACCUAUGGACCCCAGGCACCACCACCCAGACCUGCUCAGCACCUGAAACAUUCACAGCCGUGGAGAGAGAACUGUUCACUGCUACCAUCCACACUUCUGGGCCCCUUCAGCAGCAGGGUGACAAGGAAGAGGGAAAUCGACUUGGAAAAGAGGGGACCUCUGACCCAAGAGUUCGGUCAAUGCAUAUGUUGGCAGCCAGCUGCACAUCGCACCAAAUAUGAACUUCAAAUAGAAGAAAGCCUCAUUUGGAAGAAAGCUCAUGCACAGACUGUAAAUAUUUCAGAGCAGAUUGUGUCUCUGUAGAUUAAGUAAGUUGUGAAAGUCUGAACCUCUGCCAAAAUUUUAAGACCUUGACCUUUACAUCUCUGAGUUUCUAUCUGUCAUUUUUCCUUUCUAUCUGUCAUUUUACCUUUCAUACUUAUAAAAUGGAAUUCAUAAUCUUCUCAGCCUACCAAGUGUUAGUGUUCUAGGGAUUCAGAUAAAAUAUGUAUGAAAUUACUUUGAAUUACCUAAAA
Molecule: long non-coding RNA, 913 nt
Filed under: Homo sapiens (human)
Lineage: Eukaryota; Metazoa; Chordata; Mammalia; Primates; Hominidae
Description: MIR3976 host gene
Source: RNAcentral